UCCUGGUGAUUAAUCAGGCUCAGCUCCUUUUCAUAUACUUUAUGGCCAGUUGAGUAUCAUCUUCUGCAAAGUGAGGUUAGGAACUGAGCUGACCUCUUCUCAUUUAAUUUUUCAUCCCCCAAAACAUCUGGGUUUCUGACUUUGGAGAGAAGACUGGGGCCAAGAGAGUUUGAAUCAUUUUUCUCUAGUAAGAGGCUAGGGAACCAGUAUUUCAAUCCAGGUCCCCCUGAAUCCUAGAAUACUAUAUAGUCUUUUGUUAUUCACCCUGUAUGCAUUGAGUAGAACAGAGACACAGAAAGGACAGGUCAUGAGGAAGGUCCUCCAAGGAGGCCAAAAGGACCAGUCAAGGUGUGGUAGUUCAUCCUCACAUAUAUUAAGUGGAAGAAAGGACUUGUUCUCCCAAGGCAUGGGAGGCAAAUCUGGGGGACAGGCAAGAACUCAUGGCAUCUCAUUCCUUUGCCAUCAACAUUUGUUGAACAACGUUCAAAGUUCUGAAGGUCCAGAAUACCCCAUGGCUGAGCCCCUUUAUAUACAACUAGAGAAAAGAGUUGUCUCUUCUCAGCUGGUGGGGGUGUAACCAGUACAUCCUCCUGUAGGGCAAUGUGUGUCCCAAGACCUAAGAAUAAUCACCAUUUUUGACCUAAGCAUGCCACUUCUGGGAAGUUAUCUCCAAGACAUAAGAAGAUAAGUGAACAGAAUUUAACCAGAAUGAUGUUUAUCCCAGUAUUGUUUAUAAUUGUGAAACAAUUUAAAUUUAAGCAGUUUAGCAGAAAUAACAUAACUACUCUAUCAUGGGAGGACUACUUAAGAAAAUUAUGAAAUAGCCAUAAAAAUGUAACUGUAUGUAUGAGAAAUAGUGUUGCAAUCAGCCAUCAGGGAAUUGCAAAACCACACUGCACCACCACCACACACCCACCAGAACAGACAACAUGAACAAGUGUUGAUGAGGAUGUGGAGCGACCGGAACUCUUAUACAUUGUUGGCAGGAGUAUAAAUCAGUACAACCCUCUGGGAAACUGGCAGUCUCUACUAAAGCUGAACAUAUACAUAUACUAUGACUCAGCCCCAACAUUCCUAGUGUGCACCUGUGCUUCAAGACACAACCACUAGAAUGUUGCUAGAAGCACUACUGGAACACCCCCAAACUGAAAACUAACCAAAUGACCACUAAGAGUAGAAUGGGUGAAUAAAACUGUGGUAUAGUCACACAAUAGAAUACCAAACAGUGAUGACAGUGAACAACCUACAACUACACACAAUAAAUGGGAUGAAAAACAUAGAUACAAUAUUAGAUGAAAGAAGACAGACACAAGAGUCGUGCUGUAUGAUUUCAUUUAUAGAAAGUACAAGACCAGACUAAAUUAAUUUGUCCUGUUAGAAGUUAGGACAGUGAAUAUCCUGAGGGGAGGGGCCUCACUAGAUGGAAGGGCACCUGUGGGGGGCUUCUGUGGUCUGAGAAUGCUCUGUUCUCCAAUUCUAGUGUGCUCAACAGUGUGAAAAUCCAUCCAUCUGCUCAUCAAUUUAUCCCUUUUCAUGUGUGCAUUUUUCUAAAUGGAUGUUACACUGCAAUGCAAAUGUUUACUUAAAAUAGUAUUGCAGCUGGUGGGAAUGUACUUGGAACAGCCCAUUUGAAAAGCACUUUGUGUGACUUGUAAAAUUAAAAAAAAACACCAACAACAAAGUAUCCUAUGAUCCAGUAAAUGGUCCUCUUUGAUUUCUACCCUGAGGAAAAGCCCCUACAUAAGGCAAGGAAGCAUGAAGGACGCUCGCUGCAACUUCAUGAAUUGAAAAAGAAAGAAAAUACUACACAGAGCUGUUUGAAAGAGCGGCCCCCGGGAGCCACCCAUGCCUCGGUCUGCCCCGCCUUGGUGCCCUCUCCGCCCACUGGCCCAGCAGAAAACGGAAAUGCGGAUACAGGAGAGACCUGCCAAGAAGGAAGACAAUGUGAAGACUUAGGAAGAAUGCCGUCUAUGAGAUAAGGAAAGCCUGAGGCCACCAGCAGCUAGGAGAGAGUCAUGGAACAGAUUCUCCUCACAGCCUUCAGAGAGAACCACCGUGCUGACACCUAGGUUUUAGAUUUCAGGCCCAGAACUGUGAGACAAUGAAUUUCUGUUAUUUUUAAGCCACCCAGUGCUUCUGUGUUACAGCAGCCCUAGCCAACUAAUACACUCUUCUUUAUGGCAUGAACACUGAUUUCCCACUUAUGUCAAUAUAGGUUUCUUUGAAAGUAACAAA
Manis javanica (Malayan pangolin) is the source of this 2235-nucleotide long non-coding RNA. RefSeq lists it as uncharacterized. The record is from RefSeq and is a predicted model, not a curated record. NCBI's taxonomy places the organism in Eukaryota, Metazoa, Chordata, Mammalia, Pholidota, Manidae.